CACUUUUAUAUCCGGAUUCUUAGAGCGGACUCAGAGCUCCACGGUUCUUUACGCGGUUAGCACAUGCGCGACGGCUCUGCUCCCUUUUCCUCUACUUCCACUAGCCUCCACGGUCCGGGCUGCCGCCGCCACCGCCGCCGAGGAGUCAGGAAGUUCAAGAUGGCCGCUGUGGAGGCUCAGUCUCUGCGGGAACAGCCAGAGAUGGAGGAUGCUGAUAAUUCUGAAAAAAGUGUAAAUGAAGAAAAUGGAGAAGUAUCAGAAGAUCAAUCUCAAAAUAAACACAGUCGUCACAAAAAAAAGAAGCAUAAACACAGAAGUAAACAUAAGAAACAUAAACAUUCCUCAGAAGAAGACAAGGAUAAAAAACAUAAACAUAAGCAUAAACAUAAGAAACACAAAAGAAAAGAGGUUAUUGAUGCUUCUGACAAAGAAGGGAUGUCUCCAGCAAAAAGAACUAAACUUGAUGACUUAGCUUUGCUGGAAGACUUGGAAAAACAGAGAGCCUUGAUUAAAGCUGAACUUGAUAAUGAGUUAAUGGAAGGAAAGGUCCAGUCUGGAAUGGGGCUCAUAUUACAAGGUUAUGAGUCUGGCUCUGAAGAAGAGGGAGAAAUUCAUGAAAAGGCAAGAAAUGGAAAUAGGUCUAGUAUUAGAUCUUCAACUACAAAGGGGAAACUUGAACUUAUAGACAAUAAAAAUAGUACAAAAAAGCGAAGUAAAAGCAGAUCCAAAGAACGGACUAGACAUAGGUCUGAUAAAAAGAAAACUAAGGGAGGUGUUGAAAUAGUUAAAGAGAAGACAACCAGGAGCAAAUCAAAGGAGAGGAAAAAGUCCAAAAGUCCAUCCAAAAGAAGCAAGUCUCAAGAUCAAGCAAGAAAAUCAAAAUCUCCUACCCUAAGAAGGCGAUCUCAAGAGAAAAUUGGGAAGGCCAGAUCACCUACUGAUGACAAGGUUAAAAUUGAUGAUAAAAGUAAGUCAAAGGAUAGGAAAAAAUCCCCAAUUAUAAAUGAAAGUAGAAGUCGUGAUCGAAGCAAAAAAUCCAGGUCCCCAGUUGACUUAAGAGGUAAAUCCAAAGACAGAAGGUCACGGUCCAAAGAGAGAAAAUCAAAACGGUCUGAAACUGAUAAAGAAAAGAAGCCAGUUAAAUCUCCCUCUAAAGAUGCUUCUUCUGGGAAAGAAAAUAGGUCACCCAGUAGAAGACCAGGCCGUAGUCCAAAAAGAAGAAGUUUGUCUCCGAAACAACGUGAUAAAUCAAGAAGAAGUAGAUCUCCGCUUUUAAAUGAUAGAAGGUCUAAGCAGAGCAAAUCACCUUCUCGAACUCUGUCUCCUGGUAGAAGAGCCAAGAGCCGGUCCUUGGAAAGAAAACGAAGAGAACCAGAAAGGAGACGUCUUUCUUCUCCAAGGACACGACCUCGAGAUGAUAUCCUCAGUAGACGUGAAAGAUCAAAAGAUGCCAGCCCUAUCAAUAGGUGGUCUCCAACCCGAAGAAGAGCCAGUAGAUCUCCCAUUAGGAGGAGGUCUCGUUCCCCACUCAGACGUAGCAGGUCUCCCAGAAGAAGAAGCAGGUCUCCUCGGAGAAGAUUUCCUUUCUCUUCGAGUAAAGAAAGAAGGCAUUGGGGCCAGAUCAGGGACAGAGGUCGGAGGAGCAGAUCCCGCAUGAGAAGGCGGUCUCGAUCACGGGGGGGCCGUAGACGUAGGAGUAGAAGCAAAGUGAAGGAAGAUAAAUUUAAAGGAAGUCUUUCUGAAGGAAUGAAAGUUGAACAAGAAUCUUCAUCUGAUGAUAACCUUGAAGACUUUGAUGUAGAGGAAGAAGAUGAAGAGGCCCUGAUAGAACAGAGAAGGAUACAAAGGCAAGCAAUUGUGCAGAAAUAUAAAUAUCUUGCUGAAGAUAGCAAUAUGUCUGUGCCAUCUGAACCAAGCAGCCCCCAGAGCAGUACUCGUACACGGUCACCUUCUCCAGACGACAUUCUGGAAAGGGUAGCUGCUGAUGUUAAAGAGUAUGAACGGGAAAAUGUUGAUACAUUUGAGGCCUCGGUAAAAGCCAAGCAUAAUCUAAUGACAGUUGAACAAAAUAAUGGUUCAUCGCAGAAGAAGCUUUUGGCACCUGAUAUGUUUACAGAAUCUGAUGAUAUGUUUGCUGCAUAUUUUGAUAGUGCUCGUCUUCGGGCUGCUGGCAUUGGAAAAGAUUUUAAAGAGAAUCCCAACCUUAGGGAUAACUGGACUGAUGCAGAAGGCUAUUAUCGUGUGAACAUAGGUGAAGUACUAGAUAAGCGCUACAAUGUGUACGGCUACACUGGACAGGGUGUAUUUAGUAAUGUUGUACGUGCCAGAGAUAAUGCGAGAGCCAACCAGGAAGUGGCUGUAAAGAUCAUCAGAAACAAUGAGCUCAUGCAAAAAACUGGUUUAAAAGAACUAGAAUUCUUGAAAAAACUUAAUGAUGCUGAUCCUGAUGACAAAUUUCAUUGUUUGCGGCUCUUCAGACACUUUUAUCACAAACAGCAUCUCUGCCUCGUUUUUGAGCCUCUCAGUAUGAAUUUACGAGAGGUGUUAAAAAAAUAUGGUAAGGAUGUUGGUCUUCAUAUUAAAGCUGUAAGAUCCUAUAGUCAGCAGUUGUUCUUGGCAUUGAAACUCCUUAAAAGAUGCAAUAUCCUGCAUGCAGAUAUCAAGCCAGACAAUAUCCUGGUUAAUGAAUCAAAAACUAUUUUAAAGCUCUGCGAUUUUGGGUCGGCUUCGCAUGUUGCGGAUAAUGACAUAACGCCCUAUCUUGUCAGUAGAUUUUAUCGUGCUCCUGAAAUCAUUAUAGGUAAAAGCUAUGACUAUGGUAUAGAUAUGUGGUCUGUAGGUUGUACCUUAUAUGAACUCUAUACUGGAAAAAUUUUAUUUCCUGGCAAAACCAAUAACCACAUGUUGAAGCUCGCCAUGGACCUCAAAGGAAAGAUGCCGAAUAAGAUGAUUCGGAAAGGUGUAUUCAAAGACCAACAUUUUGAUCAAAAUCUCAACUUCAUGUACAUAGAAGUUGAUAAAGUGACAGAGAGAGAGAAAGUUACUGUCAUGAGCACUAUUAAUCCAACUAAGGACCUGUUGGCUGACUUGAUUGGGUGCCAGCGACUUCCUGAAGACCAACGUAAAAAAGUACACCAGCUAAAGGACUUGUUGGACCAGAUCCUAAUGUUGGACCCAGCUAAACGAAUUAGCAUCAACCAGGCCCUACAGCAUGCCUUUAUCCAGGAAAAAAUUUAAACGAGAUGAAGAAGCUCCAAGGGUUUGAGUAAUUAAAUACAAAGACUGAAGAAAUUUCACAGCAGUUUAUUAAUGUAUAUAAACUUAUAAAUAUUUCUCCAGCAAAUUUGAGGAAGCAUGAUAUAUUUGAAUUAACACCAAGGGUGAUAUUUCUUUUAGAAAUGUUAGUUAAUCUGUUUUGUGUCUUAUGUGAAGUUUCACUGUAGAACUGUUUUAACUGCCAAGACUGCACAAAAUUACAGUGCUAAUGUAUAUGGUUGCAGUUCACAUAAAAGACAGAAGCAUCUGUUAUAAAAUAAGUAGUAAUACUGGGUGGUUGAUUUACUUUUAGCAGACUUGGCUUCAUUUUGGUCUUCAAGUACAAUGGCCAGCAUAAAUGCUGUUUAUAUUCACGUUUUCCUAGGUGUGUGUGUGCAGGCCACAGCAGCAUGCCCUUGGGGUAGUCAGUGCCGAAAGGGGUCUGUUCCUUCUUGAGCCUGCCUGCAGGGAUGGUCUCCUUUUAAAGCAGGUUGUGUACAACAUUCAGUACACUGAAGGUAAGCUAAACCAUCAACAUCACUGGUGUUUUAAGAUGUUAUUUUAUUGGAACAAUUGACAAAUGAGGGAUAUUAGCUUUGUGGCAGAAUUCCCUGCAUGUGUGAUAAUUGAUCUUGUUUUAUUUUUGGCAUUGCAACUGUGGCAUAGUUACAAUUUCUGUUCUGUUCAUCACAUUUAAAAUUGGAAGAGUAUGCGCUUGAUGGAUAAAGCGCCUUCAGUGUACUGUUUCUAAUUAACUUUAAUUUUUUAAAAUCAACUUGCUAUAGACUUUAUAUAUACAUUUUGUUAAAUACAGUUCCUAGUGACAUAGAAACAAUGCUUAGUUUUCAUUUACUAAUUACAAAUGUUGAGGCCUAAUUCUGAAAGUCCUCAUAUUUAAAAGUUAGAUAGAUGACAUAAUGAAAUUUUUAACUAUUUGUAUGUCAUUUUGAAAGUGUACUGCUUUAUGGUAAAAGUGUUUUUCAUUUGUUCAUUGUUUUCAUUAUUUGUGAUCAUGUUGUCUUUCAAUACAGGCAUAAACCUUCCACUCUUGAACAAAGCAGCUGCUUUUUAAAAGCGAGAAAAAAGGAAAACGGGGCACAGGCCAUUCAACGCCUUCUCCAAGGGGUCUGAUUUGCUGAGACACCAGCUUCACCUUCUUAACAAGGUUAUUUCUGACAGCAUGUGUAGAUAAACAUUUAGCAACAGUUUAAAACAAAAUCAUGUAAAUCAGCUUCGUUUUGCAGCACAAAGGAAUUUGUAUUUUUAACAUGGUAGAAGAGAAUUUUCAGAAAUUUAUGUAAUAAUCUUUUCUGUUUGGGUGGUAAAAAUAAUUCUUGUCUCCCUAAGGAAUAUGGAAAGUAAUCAUAUUUUAGGGGCUUAAAUAAUAUUUUUAAAUUGUAAAUGGGAUUUUUUUAUUCACCCAGGCACCUAAUUACAACAAGCAUGCACAUUUUGGUGCAUUCAAGAAUGGAAAAUCAGAGUAGCAGCAUUCUUCUGGUGGGUUUUGCUCCAUUUAAAGACAUGAAAUGACUACAGCCAGGAAGGUGAUAGAUGAUAUAAUAAGCCAGCUUUGAAUCUCCACCCCAUCUCUUCACGGUUUAGACUUACUAGACUAUAAUACAAGGUUGUGUUCAUCGGCAGGUCGCGUGAGGCCUUGUAAGUGAGGCAUCACUGGUGCAGCUGUGACCUUAGUGACACGGGUGUGAUUUCCCACCGUUACUUAUUUUGGUGACAGUAUGCUGCAUAUUCAAGUCUUUUGUAGUUAUUUUCAUUCAAAAUAGUUAAUAUUUUGAUGCUUCUGGUGAUUUUCAUGGCUUCAUUUUAUGUAAUUAUUUAAGUAAGUUAACUUCCACUAGAAACAGUUCAUCUUAUGCCUUCAAAACUGUUGCAUAUUCUUUAAAAACAAAGUUGCUUGUUACUUGUUCUUUGUGUUUUAGGUGCAGCUCAGUGGAAGAUGAUGACAACCAGAAGACAUGAGCUAAGGUUUCUGUCCUAUAAAGAUUUAAAAAAAAAAAAAAGAAUUCUCCAUUUAAUUUUGUCUGAUUUUUUUAGUUUUCAGCAUUAUGAUUUGGGUUUCAUUAAUGUUUGGUACUUAGAAUAGUAGUGCUAUUGUGUUCAUUUGUAAAGUGAUUGUUUUAUCAUGCUUCCUGCCUCUUCCGCCUUCUCCCUUCCCCUAAAAUAAAAAUAGUGGUCAAAUUUAGUGAUAUAAAAGACUCUUGGGUCGUGAGAGUCCACACAUUAACACAUGGUUUUCGAAAUAGUUUCCUAAGGAUUAUUAGGGAAACGGCAAGCAGCCAAAUGCAUACGUCUAGUCUUUAGCUUUAGGUAUCUUAUCUCCAUGGCAGAUGCAAAAGAACAGAAACAGAUUUUCAGAACACAAUUCAACUCCUUUAAUACUCUGUUCUCCAACUUGUCCAUUAAUAACUUUGUUUUUAACAAGCAUUCCAGUCAUGCAUGAUCUUAAAGUAGGCCAACUAUUUAGAGCCAUUGUCAAUUUUUCUUAAGGGAAAUGAGAAAUGACAUGCUGUAGACCUUUGAUAUUCCCAAAUUAAGCAUUCCUGGAUUGAUGUAUUCGACAGGAUCCCUGUAAGCCGUCUUUAUAUGUAAGAUGUUAUUAGAAUUUGUCAUUUUGCUGAGGCAGAAAUUUGGAAUUCUGCAAGACCUCUGUUAGAUUUGAGGUCAUUUAGUGAAUAAUUCUUUAAAAACCUGCAUUCAUGUUUCAGAGUAGCUAUAUAGUUUUCAAAUACAGUACUCUCUCAUGAAGUUUUUGCCUUAUACUUUGUGGCAAAAAUGAUAUCAAGUGAUUGUCAGAUUUCAGGAUCAUAAAUCUUAAGUCAUAGCUCUCAAAGAUGUCAUAGUUCUUUCUGUAGUUGGGACAAUAGCUGAGAUUUUAGAAAGUAUAUCCACUUUAGACACCAUUCUCUAGGUGGACCUUAUUCUUGAAGGUUAUCACAAAAUAGGUUGGAGUUUUGAGGCUUUGAAGGGAUGGAGCAUCUUGUCAUAAAUUUGAAGACCAUCCCAGUGUUUGUAUUCGCCCCUAAAUUCUUACUAAAAGCAUCCUGUUUCUUUAUUCCCCAGUGCCUAUCUUGUGCCACUCUACUUCUCUCAAAAUAAUUUUGUUUUAAAAUAAUUUUUAUGUUUUGCCAUUUUAAGUACCACUUUUCUUCCUAACUAAAACACUCAGGACAUUUUUAUAAUACAAAAAUACUAUAUAAUGUUUUAUAGUAUGUGGUAGAGGCAGUGAAAUAUAAUGUUCCUAGGUUUGUUCCAUAUCUGCAUUCCUUUUACUAUAUUUAAACGUUAUCAUCUUCAUCAUUUUGUAGCAGAACUCUAGCUGGCAAUGUAGAAAUAAAAGAAUCACAUAUCUGAAAAUUUAGGCCAAACAGUAAAGAAUGCUCUUUUAAAUGUUGGAGUUAAGAGAAAAGCCAGAUAUUCAAAUAUAUCAUUUCCUUCCCUUAGUUAUAAAGACAUCAGUAGAAAUUGGCCUUCAUAAAAUCUUUGGUUCUUCAUAGUAUUGUAGUUCAAGUAUAUAUUCAACAUGAAUUUUGUCAUUCUUCUCCUAGAUGGAAUGUCCUCCUUAUAAAAGUGUUCACUACAAAUUCAUCUGUUUUUCACAUGUCAAUAAUGUACACUAAAUUGAGUUUUAAAAUGUUUUCCAGUUAUUUUGAUACAUAACAUCAUGGCAUCUUUAAUUUUUCUUUUCCUUCUAUAUGUAGGGUAAGGGACUUUCUGAAGAAUCUUUUCAUUUAGUGAUCAAGAUAUGGAAGCUGAAAUCUGAAAAUACUCAAUAUGUAUUCUAAUUGUUUGUGGAUUUGAAUUGUAACUUGCAUUUUAGCAGCAAUGUUCCCAGUCAGCUGAUUGGGAAAACAAUAAAA
RNA transcript from Rhinolophus ferrumequinum (greater horseshoe bat), 7130 nucleotides. It is a transcript of the gene named pre-mRNA processing factor 4B, with no coding region annotated. NCBI's taxonomy places the organism in Eukaryota, Metazoa, Chordata, Mammalia, Chiroptera, Rhinolophidae. The transcript is spliced from 17 exons. The record is from RefSeq and is a predicted model, not a curated record.